RNAcentral lists this non-coding RNA (539 nucleotides) under Pongo abelii (Sumatran orangutan). The record is from RNAcentral. Lineage: Eukaryota; Metazoa; Chordata; Mammalia; Primates; Hominidae.
UCGUGGCGCCGCCUGGGGGUCCCUGCGCCCCGGAAAGAGACAGCAGGCACUGGAAAGCGAGGCCGGUGGGCGGGCAAGUCGGGAGGCUCGGGCGGCCGAGGUCCGGGAGCGGAUCCCAGGUGGCGGGAGCUGUUGCCACGCUGGCUCCCACCGGCCUCUUUCCAGAUCAUGAAGAUAUUUUUCCUUCAUCAAAUUGAGAGGAAGUCUGUAGUAAAGCUGCCUGUUGACCAGGUAGUGCUGAGAGAAUCGGUGCCCAGGCUGGAGGGACUGGCUUACGCCACCCUUUGCAGGAUCAUCUUCUUAGCUUACAGAGCCUGGUGUGAUUCCACAACCCUCCACCUCUGCCCCCAACAUGCCCAACUGAUCUGGUGGAGGGAACUGAAGAUGAAGGCCUCUCAGGCACCAUGGAUGGGAUGGGUGUGUGUGAAGGGGGCAGGGUCCCCAGCAGCUGCCCCAGGUCUGACUGGACAGUUGCAUGGGAAGGCCUGUUUGUGAACUCAACUUUUCUAUGGCUGUUCCAUUAAACUUUGCCCCAAACC